Molecule: non-coding RNA, 2669 nt
Organism: Bactrocera oleae (olive fruit fly)
Lineage: Eukaryota; Metazoa; Arthropoda; Insecta; Diptera; Tephritidae
Source: RefSeq, a predicted model, not a curated record
UUUAUCGCUCACUAGAUAUAACUCUGAAGUGUAAUAAGUUUUUUAAGGUAUUCUAAGCUAUUUUGAAUUUGGCAGCACCACGUUGUUUUGACAGCAGUCAUUAAAGGGGGGCUUCGGUUUUUUCUUGAAUUGUAUUCGCAAGGCUUAGAAAACGAAGGCGACUAUUGAAAAAAAUAAAGGUAAUCCAAAUGCCCAAAAAACGGAUCAUUAAAAAUUUUUAAAAAGUUUGAGUCGCGAUGGCAAAUAUGAUUACACGACAGCAAAUUAUCAAUACUUUAGCAGCAGCGGGUAUUGAUUUUGAUUGAGAACGUGCCAGGUGAGAGCGUGCCAGAUGGGGAUACCGGCAGGGUUUGCUGGCUCGUGUUACUUUAGUUGAUGACCUGAAGGCUCAUGAAGAACUCGUAAAAACGAGCUAUAACGGGAUCUUAACCCAGCUGACAGUCGUAGAAUUGAUAUAGCUGAACUUGAUGCACUGAUGAAUAAAUUUGACGGUUCUGAGUUUCAAGAUGUCACGAAUGAAUGCGAUGUUUGAUGUUUGUCGUUGCAGUGACAGAUACAAGUUAAUUGCUGCUCGUCAUUUACAAAUUUGCCACGCUAAAAUAUUCAUUGAUGCUGCUGCAAUGUGUUCGUAUUUUCAAUAAGUUUAAAUCACGUCGCAUUAAACCAGCAGAAACACCGCGAUAAUACAUUGUCGAAAUGCAAUAUAUUGCUAGCCGAGUUAAAGUACUUGAAGCUGAUUUGGAUGAUAUAAUCAUUGAUUGUUUAAAUGACAAAUUUUCUUAUGGUACGAUGUUAUAUGGCGCCAAUUCAAUCAGAGAUUUGAAGACUCUUAUGGAGCUCUAUGAAAAGAAGCGGAAAAUUUUCACAGUCCCAGCGACCAUCCCGACAAAGGCCAAACCAGCUUUAAGUGGAAAAGUGGAUAUUGUUUUAGUUGCUUUCAACAUGGCCACUAUCCGAAUGCUUGUACGGAUCCCAGACGUCCACCAAAUUCAUGCUUCAUGUGCUCUGAAAUCGGCCACACACGCCAAAACUGUCCUCGUUACGCUACAAGAAACAACCGUUAUAUUGCAGCCGCUGUAGGAGAUGAUGCAAAUCCUGAAGUCCGUCAACUGGCAGAACGAUUUUCUUCAAAUAAUUUGUUUCAUAAAACGGUCUUACGUGUCAUAAUCAGUAAACCCCAACAGGGAACAAAAGUUGACACAAUAUCGUGGAAUCGCAAGAAUUGCUCCACAAUAAUGCUAUUUUGCCAGAUUCAGAUGAGAUUUUACCAGUGCUGGUUGGGCGUGACCUUUUAAACAAAAUGCAAAUAGCAUUGUGCCAAACAAAGACAAUUAGUUUUAAGCCAAAGGAGUUAUUUAACAUAAGAGCUUAAAAUAAGUUUCGUGUUUCGGAAAAAUUUGUCCGUGCACUUCGCUUUCUUGAUUUUGUAUAUAGAAGCCCACUAGCUAGUUGCCAGUCUGCUAGCACUGUACAUAAUAUAUGCACAAUUAAACGAAAAGUGUCCAGACACUAAUGGGUCGGAGGUUAAUGGUUACUCAAUGCAUAUUAAAUUGAAGACUAAAUCCAGUGUACAGUAGUGCGAGAAGACUCUCGUUUAUGGAGAAGUUUGAAAUUCAAAGAACAAUCGAUGAGUUAUUGGCUCAGGGAACCAUGGUCUGGUGUUUCGCAUAAGUGGACAGUAUCAACAAUUGUAUUUGCCGGCAGAAAUGCAAGAAAGUGUUAUGAGAACGGUACACGAAAACUAUGGCUACCAAGAAGUUAAUAAGUGCGCAAAUCAAAUCCAAAAGCACUAAUAUUUUAUAUAAUAUAUGUAUAAUAACAUAAACGUGUUCUUGUAAUAGUGGACGUGUUUACUAAAUUUGUGAAGCUGGUGAAUAAUAGCUUAAAAGAAACUAUAUGUGUGCUUAAGAAGUACUUUGUAGAUUACAGUCGUCUUCGAAGGUUCAUAAGUGACCGGGGAACAGCUUUUACUUUCAAUGAAUUUGAAGAUUUUUGUAAGGAAUGCAAUGUUAACCACAUUUUGAAUGCAGUCUAACGGCCAGGUAGCGUGUAAAUCGUGUUUAAAGGACAUUUUGGCAAUAGUUACUGAGCGAAUAAAUAUUGCCGAUUGGAAGAAAAAGCUAACUGCGGUAGAGUUCGCUAUAAACAAUACUGUACACUGGGCCACUAAACAAACUCCGGGUCCGUUGCUGUUUGGUGCUGAGCAAAGGGGAGAGCAAGUUGAUGAGUUAACUGAAUACCUUCAUGACGUUUAUGCUAAACCUAUCGAAAAUCUUGAAGAUUUAAGGAAUAAAGCUGAUGUUGCCAUUAUAAAAUCUCAGUUGGACAAUCAGAGGAAUUUCGAACGAAACCAUAGGCCACCUAAAGAGUUCGAGGUAGGAGGCUUGGUAGUAAUAAAGAAUGUAGAUAUUACUGUAGGGAAAAUAUAAAAUGAAUUCCUAGGUACAAGGGUCCAUAUGUAGUCCGUAAGCAAUUAGGCUUUGUAAGAUAUGUGGUUGCAGAUGUUGAAAAUUGCUGUGAUUUAUAGAUUUGUAAGAGUGGUAACUACAAAAAAAAAAAAUCUGAAGCAAUGGAUUGAGCAUAAGUAGAUUUUAUUGCUGAUGGAGUAAAAUUAACCAAACUUACUUAUUUUCAUCUUUGCCAGAACUACGGUUUUCACUUGACGAUCU